Molecule: long non-coding RNA, 3152 nt
Filed under: Gossypium barbadense (sea-island cotton)
Lineage: Eukaryota; Viridiplantae; Streptophyta; Magnoliopsida; Malvales; Malvaceae
Description: long non-coding RNA (GBAR_LNC018376)
Source: RNAcentral
AGGAAGGGUUUGUCAGGCUCAAAUUAACUGUCGUAUGACUUUCUGGUACAUGUUUGAAAGCCUCUAGACGGUGGAUUUAAAACAAGAAAAUUAUUGAUAGGCAGCUUAUGGGAAUUUAGCAGUUCAUAUAUAUAUUUUGUUGAUUGAAUGGAACAACUUGUAAGGUCAAGAUCACAGCUCGGAAAGGAGUUAAACCGUCACACUCUGACACCGACUAUAUCACAGGCUUAUCAGCAAGUGGUGCUGUCUAUUGGAGGGGCCUUAGACGAGGCUGGUAAGAGACUGAAACCCCCUAUGAAUUGAAAAUGAAUGGGGAAUCUAUCAAAAUUGCUUGAUAUUCGAGAACUAUGAUAUGCAUUGUCUCACAAUAAAUUAAACUAUGAUAUGUAUGUAUGAAAGUAACCUUAAAACUACCCUGCAAAACAAGGUUUCUGCCAUGGAAACAAGAGCAAAAAAAUAACAUUGUACCAUACCAUUCAGUAGCAUGCCUUAUACUAGAACUUGGACGAAAAGAUCUCAUCCCAGAUAUACUUGGUUUCAGUUCAGCAACAGUGACAACACCCAUCUUCAAAAAUAAAAAAAUAAAAAAAACCAGUAAAAUUCAGAUUUCAGCCUCAAUGCUCCCUCUGAAAGCUCUGAACCAGCAGUCCCUCACCAAAGAAGUUUUUUUUCUUUCAGUCCAAUAGUUUCAUGGUUUUCUGCAGCUGACAGCUUGUUUAUGGAACACUAAUGAUGAGUGAUCUCUCUCUUUCUUUCUCUUAAUUAUCUUCUAUUGUGGAAAAGAGAAUGGGUGGAGUGAGGUAAAAGUAACAUGAACUCAUGCAAGAUUAAAGGGUAAUGAUGACUUUGAAAUAUACUUUUUUAAUGAGUGUAUAUAAUAUGCCUAAUCUAAAGCCAAGAACGUGUUGGUCUGUUGCUUCAACUUUUCGGUGAAAGGUAGUGAGAGUGUCUUUGUUUUUUUACAUGCGUUGAACUUUAAAUCUAUCAUAUAUGAACUCGUACUUUCUUUUUGAAAUGAUUUUCGUUUAUGAAGGAAAGAUAUCUCAGGAUUCCUAAGAGCUGCAGUGGUGUUUUAGGAUGUAAUUACGUGUAAUGAAAGGGUAAAAGUAUGAUAGAUAUUGUUGGACGUGGUUGACAAAAUAACUAAACAGCAGUUAACAUAUUAUGUAUAUCUAAUGUUGACCUACAGAACUAUUUUUUAACGGUGAGAAUAGAGUAAAGUAAUUUUUUUUUUACUUUGAGAAGGUUUUCAAAUAUAUGAUUUCAAAUUUAUGUACUCUAGCAUUAAAUUAAUUAUACAGUAAUAAUAUUUUAAUUUGACUAUUUAAUUUUUAAAUUUAACUCGAACAAUUUCACUCUAUCCAACUCGAAUUGAAUUUUAUUUUACUCGACUAAAAAAAUUCAAAUCAAAUUAAAAUAAUAAAAUAAAAUUUAUUAACUCAAUUAACUUAAAAAUCUUUUAUAAAGGGCUUUUACCGAAAUGAAAGCUACCUACUAAGAAAAGAUUAGCAUGUGUAAAGUCUCAUAAAGUAGGAAAUUAAGAAGAUUUUCGUGUUGUAUAAUUAGUACAGCUCUCUCCUCUGUCCAUAGUACAUCACUCAAGAACUUGCUUUAAAUUUUGCAGAGAAUAUACAUAUAUAAAUAUAGCCUAUUUUCAGUCCUAUAGCUAAGAUGCCUAGCUUUCAAUUAUGGACAUUUCUCUGCCACAAUUUCUAGGACGAUACCUCAGCAGCCAUACUUUUCUGAAUUUCUUCAAAAUGAAAUUUGAAGUCUAUGUCAUUCAUUCCUUCCCUCUGUCUUACACAAAUUUUAGUGCAAAUAUUUGUUGGUUUUGGACAAACAUCCUUUUUUGGAGAGGAUGCCACCGAUUAAAUAUGACAAAUUUAAACCCCAUUUGAAAGCACAAAAACAAAUGGCCUAUUAAAUAUGACAAAUUUAAACCCCUAAGAUUGCUUUUGAUCAAGUGGUAAUAAUGAUCCCAUCAACUCAUACCUUUAUGUGCAUGGCCUAUUAAUAGUGAAUGGUUAGCAUUUGAUCAAAUGCUAAAGUGAUUUGAUCAUUUUGCCUUUUUUUCUUUCUUGGUUAGGCCAUUAUGCCUUCCCUCCUCUCUGUUUUUCCAUGAGAGUUUUCAGAAUUGAAUAGUUUGCAUUAAAUUGCAUAUGUAUGUCUCCUUGGAUAAAAUACAUCACUUCUUAAUUCCUUUUAUUCAUUACUUUUUGACGAAGUCUUAAUUAAAUUGUUUAUGUAUAUACGGACCAUGUGUUAUGGCAAUGAGCAGCCACAUGAGAGAGCUUAAGAUAUUGGGUUUUUUGAACUCUGAAUAUUUUUGGUUGCAUGAAGAACAAAUUAUUAGACUGUGGCACCUGAAUAAUUCAUCAUGAGAGUAGCAUAAUGUAUGAAAUAUUGGUGUAGCCACUCGCAGUUUUGCCUUUUUGGCUUUGCCAAAUAUAAACAAACUUAUUUUGGACCCUUCCAAAAAAAAAAAAGUGAUUUAUAUCAGAAAUCUCAGUUGCAAGUUCAGUUCAUUUCUCAAAUUAAAGUUUUCUUUAUAUUGUAACUCAGAAUAUUAGAAUUAACUACAAAAUACUACAUAUGUCUUUGUUUUUGUACAGACAAAGAAAAUCAAAAUUUGGGUUGAAAACUUUGUUUGUGGAUCUGUUUCUAGUGGAAGUAUAGACCAGACAUUUGGUUACCUAAAAGUUAAAAGCCAAAAGGGUAUCUUCUUUUGUCACAAUUCAUUUUUUUUCUACUUUUAAAUGCAGUUGAUGAAGAAAGCAACUUUUGAAUCAUUAGUGCAGGUGAGCAAUGGUGGUGGCUACAAUUAUAGUGACACAAAUAUGUGAGCCCACUGUUUUGAAAGCACCCCCCAUUCCCCCAAAGGCGCAUAACUGCAUAUAAUCCACUGUAUGUGCUGCUAUGAUCAUCACAUUGCUGCAAAUCAAGGAUUGAUGGCUGAUCGUGUGGCUGUAUAUUCUUUAAUUAUGAUCUUAAUACAAUCAUUCUCCUUUUCCUAAAUGAACCUGGUGCAUUUAUUGUUCUUUGUCAUUAAAAGGGUGGCUUUCAAAUCAUUGAACUAUUGCUUGUCUCUGUAUUUUACAAGAUAGCUUGUUCAUCCUCCCUCGCUUUGUUGGAGCAUAAAUUCUGGGUAGUGC